UACGAAGGGGGCUAGCGUUGUUCGGAGUCACUGGGCGUAAAGCGCACUUAGGCGGAUCGAUAAGUCGGGGGUGAAAGCCCAGGGCUCAACCUCGGAAUUGCCCUCGAUACUGUAGGGCUCGAGUCCGGGAGAGGUGAGUGGAAUUCCUAGUGUAGAGGUGAAAUUCGUAGAUAUUAGGAAGAACACCAGUGGCGAAGGCGGUUCACGGGACCGAUACUGACGAUCAGGUGCGAAAGCGUGGGGAGCAAACAGG
This 253-nucleotide ribosomal RNA is filed under the name uncultured bacterium. Its description in RNAcentral is "partial 16S ribosomal RNA". It matches the Rfam family "Bacterial small subunit ribosomal RNA", at positions 524 to 776 of the family's 1533-position model. The record is from RNAcentral.